GCGAAUUCAGCUUGUGCAACCCCUUGGUGUCUUUAAUACGCUUGAGGACCAUGUCACCUAUGUUGAACGAGCGUUCUUUGACGUUGUGAUCAUGAUAGCGGCAAAUCCCUUCAAGAUACUUUGCAGACUAAACGAGUGCUACACAAUGAGCUUCUUCGAGGUCGUCUAAGUCUAGACACCUUGUUUAUUCUGCUGUUCC
Molecule: long non-coding RNA, 199 nt
Filed under: Setaria italica (foxtail millet)
Lineage: Eukaryota; Viridiplantae; Streptophyta; Magnoliopsida; Poales; Poaceae
Description: long non-coding RNA (SITA_LNC001909)
Source: RNAcentral